RNAcentral lists this transfer RNA (63 nucleotides) under Dremomys pyrrhomerus (red-hipped squirrel). RNAcentral's name for it is "tRNA-Ser". The record is from RNAcentral. Lineage: Eukaryota; Metazoa; Chordata; Mammalia; Rodentia; Sciuridae.
CAAGAAAGCAAUGCAAGAACUGCUAACUCAUGCCCCCGCGCUUACACCCGCGGCUUUCUUGAC